CUUCAACAUAAAGAGUUGACAGCAGAACGGCAGCCAUUUCUCUCUCUUUGUCAUGCCUAUCCAUGGCCAUGGACACCAACUUCUUCACAAAAUAGUAAUGAGUUUGUAAGAGAAACUGGGAGAGAAUGAUGCAUGGUUUACAUUUGGUUAAGGGAAGUUGAGAACAAAGGAAAAGUUGGUUGGAGAGAGUCAGAGAGACUCACGGAUGUGGACCGGUUCAUGAUGUGUUAAUCCUGGCAUUUAGGGGGAACACUUCAAACUUAUAUUUUAAUUUAAGUCUUUUGUAUUAAUUUAUAUUUGGUUUUUUUUUUCUCUAUUGCUCUGUAAAUUAUAAGUUAUUAAUAUUGUUCAAAUGGCCAUAAGACUAUUAUAUCAAUGGCCAAAUCAGCACAUGAGUUGAUGACUA
Long non-coding RNA from Dioscorea cayenensis subsp. rotundata (Guinea yam), 406 nucleotides. RefSeq lists it as uncharacterized. The transcript is spliced from 2 exons. Lineage: Eukaryota; Viridiplantae; Streptophyta; Magnoliopsida; Dioscoreales; Dioscoreaceae. The record is from RefSeq and is a predicted model, not a curated record.